AGCUUUCUCAUCGAUUGGAAGGGGUUCCUUCCAGUCGAUGAGGAGGCUGAACCUCACCAACAGGAAGGAAUCCCUUCCGGUUGAUGAGGUAUAGCUUCCUCAUCAACCGGAAGGACUCUCCUUCGGUCAAUGAGGAAGCU
Molecule: microRNA precursor, 140 nt
Filed under: Puccinia graminis f. sp. tritici CRL 75-36-700-3
Lineage: Eukaryota; Fungi; Basidiomycota; Pucciniomycetes; Pucciniales; Pucciniaceae
Description: microRNA MIR807
Source: RNAcentral